UGGGGAAUAUUGCGCAAUGGGCGAAAGCCUGACGCAGCGACGCCGCGUGAGGGAUGAAGGCCUUCGGGUCGUAAACCUCUGUCAGGAGGGAAGAACCGUCUGGGGAUUAACAGUCUCCGGGCCUGACGGUACCUCCAGAGGAAGCACCGGCUAACUCCGUGCCAGCAGCCGCGGUAAUACGGAGGGUGCGAGCGUUAAUCGGAAUCACUGGGCGUAAAGCGCGCGUAGGCGGCUUGCCAAGUCGGAUGUGAAAGCCCUCGGCUCAACCGGGGAACUGCAUUCGAAACUGGCAGGCUGGAGUCCCGGAGAGGGUGGCGGAAUUCCCGGUGUAGGAGUGAAAUCCGUAGAUAUCGGGAGGAACACCAGUGGCGAAGGCGGCCACCUGGACGGUGACUGACGCUGAGGUGCGAAAGCGUGGGGAGCAAACA
RNAcentral lists this ribosomal RNA (428 nucleotides) under uncultured bacterium. Its description in RNAcentral is "bacterial SSU rRNA". It matches the Rfam family "Bacterial small subunit ribosomal RNA", at positions 355 to 774 of the family's 1533-position model. The record is from RNAcentral.